RNAcentral lists this unclassified non-coding RNA (519 nucleotides) under uncultured Glomus. Its description in RNAcentral is "SSU rRNA". It matches the Rfam family "Eukaryotic small subunit ribosomal RNA", at positions 569 to 1092 of the family's 1831-position model. The record is from RNAcentral. Lineage: Eukaryota; Fungi; Glomeromycota; Glomeromycetes; Glomerales; Glomeraceae.
AGCAGCCGCGGUAAUUCCAGCUCCAAUAGCGUAUAUUAAAGUUGUUGCAGUUAAAAAGCUCGUAGUUGAAUUUCGGGAUUAAUAUGUUGGUCGUGCCUUGGUACGUACUGGCAUUAUUGAUUCCUACCUUCUGAAGAACCUCGAUGUCAUUAAUUUGGUGUCUUGGGGAAUCAGGACCGUUACUUUGAAAAAUUAGAGUGUUUAAAGCAGGCUCGCGCUUGAAUACAUUAGCAUGGAAUAAUGAAAUAGGACGUUUGAUUCUAUUUUGUUGGUUUCUAGGAUCGACGUAAUGAUUAAUAGGGAUAGUUGGGGGCAUUAGUAUUCAAUUGUCAGAGGUGAAAUUCUUGGAUUUAUUGAAGACUGACUACUGCGAAAGCAUUUGCCAAGGAUGUUUUCAUUAAUCAAGAACGAAAGUUAGGGGAUCGAAGACGAUCAGAUACCGUCGUAGUCUUAACCAUAAACUAUGCCGACUAGGGAUCGGAUGAUGUUAAUUUUUAAUGACUCAUUCGGCGCCUUAAC